AUUGAACUCUGGCGGCAUGCCUUACACAUGCAAGUCGAACGGUAACAGGUUAAGCUGACGAGUGGCGAACGGGUGAGUAAUGUAUCGGAACGUGCCCAGUCGUGGGGGAUAACUGCUCGAAAGAGCAGCUAAUACCGCAUACGACCUGAGGGUGAAAGCGGGGGAUCGCAAGACCUCGCGCGAUUGGAGCGGCCGAUAUCAGAUUAGGUAGUUGGUGAGGUAAAGGCUCACCAAGCCGACGAUCUGUAGCUGGUCUGAGAGGACGACCAGCCACACUGGGACUGAGACACGGCCCAGACUCCUACGGGAGGCAGCAGUGGGGAAUUUUGGACAAUGGGCGCAAGCCUGAUCCAGCCAUGCCGCGUGCGGGAAGAAGGCCUUCGGGUUGUAAACCGCUUUUGUCAGGGAAGAAAAGGUUCUGGCUAAUACCUGGGACUCAUGACGGUACCUGAAGAAUAAGCACCGGCUAACUACGUG
RNAcentral lists this ribosomal RNA (477 nucleotides) under uncultured bacterium. RNAcentral's name for it is "partial 16S ribosomal RNA". It matches the Rfam family "Bacterial small subunit ribosomal RNA", at positions 30 to 507 of the family's 1533-position model. The record is from RNAcentral.